Molecule: RNase P RNA, 377 nt
Filed under: Aquimarina intermedia
Lineage: Bacteria; Pseudomonadati; Bacteroidota; Flavobacteriia; Flavobacteriales; Flavobacteriaceae
Description: Bacterial RNase P class A
Rfam family: Bacterial RNase P class A
About the family: Ribonuclease P (RNase P) is a ubiquitous endoribonuclease, found in archaea, bacteria and eukarya as well as chloroplasts and mitochondria. Its best characterised activity is the generation of mature 5'-ends of tRNAs by cleaving the 5'-leader elements of precursor-tRNAs.
Source: RNAcentral
AAAGUAGACCACCUUAUCGCUGUGUGCAGAACUUAUUUCUGCAGCUGCUUCUUUUUGCUGCGAAGCUCAAGAGAAAAGGCUUUCAAAUUAAGUUUGAAGCAAAGAGGAAAGUCCGGACACCGUAGCGCAGCAUAGCGGGUAACGCCCGUCCGUUGCAAAACGAGGACAAGUGCAACAGAAAGUAUGUACAGGUAAUGCUGUAGUGAAACCAGGUAAACUCUAUGCGGUGCAACGCCAUGUAAACCAGCGCUCGAGGGUUGCGCGCCUGAUGUUGGAGGGUAGGCGGUUUGAUCCAAUGAGUAAUUAUUGGACUAGAUAAAUGAUAAGGAAUUGUGCAUUAGUACUCUACAGAAUCCGGCUUAUGGUCUACUUUUUUU